This 468-nucleotide ribosomal RNA is filed under the name uncultured bacterium. RNAcentral's name for it is "partial 16S ribosomal RNA". It matches the Rfam family "Bacterial small subunit ribosomal RNA", at positions 28 to 507 of the family's 1533-position model. The record is from RNAcentral.
GACGAACGCUGGCGGCGUGCUUAACACAUGCAAGUCGAACGGAAAGGCCCUGCUUUUGUGGGGUGCUCGAGUGGCGAACGGGUGAGUAACACGUGAGUAACCUGCCCUUGACUUUGGGAUAACUUCAGGAAACUGGGGCUAAUACCGGAUAGGAGCUCCUGCUGCAUGGUGGGGGUUGGAAAGUUUCGGCGGUUGGGGAUGGACUCGCGGCUUAUCAGCUUGUUGGUGGGGUAGUGGCUUACCAAGGCUUUGACGGGUAGCCGGCCUGAGAGGGUGACCGGCCACAUUGGGACUGAGAUACGGCGCAGACUCCUACGGGAGGCAGCAGUGGGGAAUAUUGCACAAUGGGCGGAAGCCUGAUGAAGAAACGCCGCGUGCGGGAUGACGGCCUUCGGGUUGUAAACCGCUUUCGCCUGUGACGAAGCGUGAGUGACGGUAAUGGGUAAAGAAGCACCGGCUAACUACGUG